Small nucleolar RNA from Oryzias javanicus (javanese ricefish), 80 nucleotides. NCBI's taxonomy places the organism in Eukaryota, Metazoa, Chordata, Actinopteri, Beloniformes, Adrianichthyidae. The record is from Ensembl.
CAAAUGCUGGAUGAUGAUAAUAAGAGUGAUCCAUCGUCUGACUGACUUUGUUGACAUCAUUAGUGUUCUGACAGCAUUUG